This 389-nucleotide long non-coding RNA is filed under the name Astyanax mexicanus (Mexican tetra). Its description in RNAcentral is "lncRNA (ENSAMXG00005003011.1)". The record is from RNAcentral. Lineage: Eukaryota; Metazoa; Chordata; Actinopteri; Characiformes; Acestrorhamphidae.
UCCUAAAUUGCACUUUGAUUUUAUGAUGCAGGCUCGACACACUCCCAUCUGGAGAAGGGCACUGAAAUAAGGACAUUGACUGCUUCGCCCUGCCUGUGUGAGACACUGUGUGCACUGGAAGGCUAUGAGGAAGUCUGGCUUUCUGAGGAAACAACAAAGGCUUUUGGCAUCCAGCAGCCUUCCUGAAAAUCAUUUCCAGGGCAUGUGCGGGUCAUCCAGAACAUGGUAUUUAUGCAAUCAGUUGACUUAUUUUUUCUGUUAACAGAGCACAGAAAACAGCCUACCACAAUCCAGCUGAAAGCAUAAUGACUCUGCUCACUUUUCUUCUCAAGGAACCAAGGAAGGAAGAAAGGAUAUGAUGUCACCAAAUAAAUGCUAGAACCUCUGCA